AAAGAUGAGAGUUUCGAAAGUGACAGCUGCCGAACAAAUUGCGGAGGUUUGAUACAGUAAAUCUCACCUCAAAUGAAAAGUUUUCAACAGAAAUGCAAAAAUGAAAAAAAGGGUGUUUGGUGACUUGGACCCCGAGGACGAAAAUGACAAAGAUCCAUUUUCUGAUAAAUGUCGAAAAUAAUGAAUUGCUGUAGAUGCAAGCUGGAUCGUCAUCUUCAUCAGAAAAUGGAGUCCCAUUCAGCCUGUGCAAGUGUCAGUAGUGAAAUAAAAAUGUUUACUUGCGAAUUAUGUAGGAAUUAGGUAGUGCUAUGACAAUAAAAGAUUGAUUUCUUAUUA
Molecule: long non-coding RNA, 336 nt
Organism: Harmonia axyridis
Lineage: Eukaryota; Metazoa; Arthropoda; Insecta; Coleoptera; Coccinellidae
Exons: 2
Source: RefSeq, a predicted model, not a curated record